ACUGCUGGAAAACUCUUCAAAACCCCAGAGACUGCUGUAGGAAAACCACACUGGGGAUGCUGCUGGCUGGCAACAUCUGUGGGUAGUGCCCUGGGCAUAGUCACAAAGGACUCUGCCAGCUACACAAAACAGCACACACAGAAGAUGGGCAGCAACCAGAUAGGACGAUCAGAAAACUCAAGCCGAAGAAGUAACCCGGUUGGCAACAGACAAUAGCCGCCCGGCUCUGUGUCUGUCUCUAACACUAAUGCUCUCCUCCCGAGUGCAGAGAGCCCGGACUCCCCUUAACUGCAGCUCAACUAAGCGGCCACUACUUGGUGCUUUGGAUUCUGAAGCAGUAACAGCUACUGUGGUAAAACAGCAGGCAGAACUUCAGUCCCGAGCCACUUCUCAAGAGCAUUUUCAACUGUAACCAUUCUACUUUCAUAAGGAUCGAACUCAGGACCUUGCACUUGCCAGGCCAGUGUAGUGCCACUGAGCUAUGUCCUGGCCCACUAACUGAACUGCAAUGCAGAUGGUUCUCGCAUCACUUCUCUGUGCUGUUUGGGCUCCAGGGACACAGCCUGACUUCAGGACCAGUUCAAGCUGCCGGAGGAACGGGGGGCAGAAACAGCAGCCAGCAAGGGCAUCGGCACCAGGAAGGAGCAGACCAGGCUGGGGUAGAAGAGGUGCUGCUUCCUGACUGAGAAACACUUGAGGAGCACACUGACAAAUCACCUGAUGCAAACUCCAGUUUAAGGAGACUGCUUGCUUUCCAAAUUAGAACGGCUCACCACUGGUUCAUCAAGAAUGGGAGCUAACUACAGUUGCUUUCUAUUUACAUCAACCCAACCAAGACAAGAGAGGACAGAGAGACAAAUGCCAGUGAGAUGUUAUUGAGAGUUCCGCAUCUGCAGUAGAAACAUAAAUACCAUAAAAUUUCCCUCCCUUCAUCCUAUACACUCUUCCCAGAAAUUUGCAUUUUCUAUUAUUUUAUCAAUAUGAAUUUGGAUACAAUUUAUUUUGCUCCUAAACUAUUCCCUGAAGGCCAUGGCACUCAAAAAACUUCAGAUUUUGUAGCAGGGUUUGGAUCUUUAGAUUAGUGAUGCUAAACUGGUAAAGUCUCUGCAAAUAUUCCAAAAUCUAAAACACAAAACAAAAGA
Heterocephalus glaber (naked mole-rat) is the source of this 1142-nucleotide long non-coding RNA. RefSeq lists it as uncharacterized. Lineage: Eukaryota; Metazoa; Chordata; Mammalia; Rodentia; Bathyergidae. The record is from RefSeq and is a predicted model, not a curated record.